UAAUUCCUGUUUGAACUAGAGCAAAUUGUUUAGAAAAACAUGCCAGCUUGAUUAAGAAAUUUCCAGUAAUGGAGAAUCCAACACAACCCUUGAUAAAUUGUUCCAAUAAUUAAUUUCACUCACUCUUAAAUAUUUGCACCUUAUUCAUAGUUGAAAUUUGUCUACCUUCAACUUCCUGCUGCUGGAUCUUGAGGGCUGAACCAGCCUACUUGAAAUGUUAAUAAUUUUGGAAGCUACCACUUGCUCCAAGAUGGUUCCCCAGCUUGAAGCCACAACAAGUAAUGUUAUGGUGGAAAGCAGCUGUGCUGAACAACCAGCAUCAUCUGAAGACGUGUCAUUUCUUCAAGGGAAUGUUCAAAUGUUGGUGGACGCUAUCCAGAAGGACAGCGCAAGCCACCUAAAGGAUAUGACUUGUAACUGGACCUUGUUUUUGUUCCCUCUACAAGUACUUCUGAGGAGUUGCACCCAUUUCAUUUUGGGAGGACGAUAGAUGUAAUAUAUUUGAAGGUAUUGAGUAAAGUGUUGAAUCUG
This is a long non-coding RNA of Chelonoidis abingdonii (Abingdon island giant tortoise), 531 nucleotides long. RefSeq lists it as uncharacterized. The record is from RefSeq and is a predicted model, not a curated record. Lineage: Eukaryota; Metazoa; Chordata; Testudines; Testudinidae.